UACGGAAGGUCCGGGCGUUAUCCGGAUUUAUUGGGUUUAAAGGGAGCGCAGACGGCCUGUUAAGCGUGCAGUGAAAUCCGGGGGCUCACCCUUCGGAGUGCUGCGUGAACUGGCGGGCUUGAGUGGGCCGGAAGAGGGCGGAAUUCGUGGUGUAGCGGUGAAAUGCUUAGAUAUCACGAGGAACUCCGAUUGCGCAGGCAGCCCUCUGUAGCCCUACUGACGUUCAUGCUCGAAGGUGCGGGUAUCGAAC
This 250-nucleotide ribosomal RNA is filed under the name uncultured prokaryote. RNAcentral's name for it is "partial 16S ribosomal RNA". It matches the Rfam family "Bacterial small subunit ribosomal RNA", at positions 524 to 773 of the family's 1533-position model. The record is from RNAcentral.